This 484-nucleotide ribosomal RNA is filed under the name uncultured bacterium. RNAcentral's name for it is "SSU rRNA". It matches the Rfam family "Bacterial small subunit ribosomal RNA", at positions 26 to 523 of the family's 1533-position model. The record is from RNAcentral.
AGGAUGAACGCUGGCGGCGUGCCUAACACAUGCAAGUCGAACGUCCUGUCUCGCAAGAGGCAGGGAGUGGCGGACGGGUGAGUACCACGUGGGUGAUCUACCGUGAGGUGAGGAAUACCGGCGAGAAAUCGCCGACAAGACCGCAUAGCCUCGGUGCAAGCCGAGGAAAGCUCUCUCGAGAGAGGGAGCGCCACACGAGGAGCCUGCGCCCGAUUAGCUAGCUGGUGGAGUAACGGUUCACCAGGGCGACGAUCGGUAGCUGGUCUGAGAGGACGAUCAGCCACACUGGGAUUGAGAACGGCCCAGACUCCUACGGGGGGCAGCAGUGAGGAAUUUUCGUCAAUGGGGGCAACCCUGAACGAGCAACGCCGCGUGCAGGAAGAAGGUUUUCGGAUCGUAAACUGCUUUUCGUCGGGGAAGAGGAACGGACGGUACCCGAGGAACUCGACGCCCCGGCUAACGUACGUGCCAGCAGCCGCGGUAA